RNAcentral lists this ribosomal RNA (687 nucleotides) under Triticum aestivum (bread wheat). RNAcentral's name for it is "partial small subunit ribosomal RNA". The record is from RNAcentral. Lineage: Eukaryota; Viridiplantae; Streptophyta; Magnoliopsida; Poales; Poaceae.
AUGUCCUCCAAAAGCAAUCCAAAGCUUGAGACUGUCAGCCUAUUGGCUCAAGCUUUACUGGACAAGUACAAUGAAGAUCACCUUCUUUUUGGGGAUCUUGCAUAUGAACUUGAUGAUGUUGUGAGCUUCCGAGAAAUUUAUGAGAGGGAGGGCCGCCUUGUCAACAUGUUCUAUCAUAUCAAUUUGACUACAAAAACGAAAGGAGAUGAUGGUUUUCAGAGUGGCGUCGAUAAUGUGUUCUUUGCUGAAGUCACACGAAUAAAAGGCGAAGAUGUACAAUAUGUGCUCAGUUGUUUCUGCAUGGUUGAACCUAAUGACAAUGGCCAAUGCUAUGGUUGCAUGAGAUACGGAAAUGUUGAUUUGAAGCAUCCUGUUGAUGUUGAUAAAUACAAAGGUGGCCACUCUUAUCGGUACUCACCAUGUUCUGGUUUUGAUCCACGGCGGGAUACCCCUGGCCCGGAUGUACCUGCAUACAUCCAGGAUGAGGAGGAUAGGCUCGCGUAUGAGGAGGCUACAGUAAGAAGUAUGUACGAGUGCCCUGACAAUCCUCCUAUUCUAGCAAAAUUGAAUGGUACAAGAAUGCCUGUUGGUUGUUCGACCAAAAGAGAGGAUGCUAGUUUGGCCAAGAGAGAGGAUGGCAAGGGAAGGGUGAAAUACGUUGUACCUGCUAGGCGUCAGUUGGUUUGA